GACGAACGCUGGCGGCGUGCUUAACACAUGCAAGUCGAACGAAGAGCGAUGGAAGCUUGCUUCUAUCAAUCUUAGUGGCGCACGGGUGAGUAACGCGUAAUCAACCUGCCCUUCAGAGGGGGACAACAGUUGGAAACGACUGCUAAUACCGCAUACGAUCUAAUCUCGGCAUCGAGGAUAGAUGAAAGGUGGCCUCUACAUGUAAGCUAUCACUGAAGGAGGGGAUUGCGUCUGAUUAGCUAGUUGGAGGGGUAACGGCCCACCAAGGCGAUGAUCAGUAGCCGGUCUGAGAGGAUGAACGGCCACAUUGGGACUGAGACACGGCCCAGACUCCUACGGGAGGCAGCAGUGGGGAAUCUUCCGCAAUGGACGAAAGUCUGACGGAGCAACGCCGCGUGAGUGAUGACGGCCUUCGGGUUGUAAAGCUCUGUUAAUCGGGACGAAAGGCCUUCUUGCGAAUAGUGAGAAGGAUUGACGGGACCGGAAUAGAAAGCCACGGCUAACUACGG
Molecule: ribosomal RNA, 509 nt
Filed under: uncultured bacterium
Lineage: Bacteria
Description: partial 16S ribosomal RNA
Rfam family: Bacterial small subunit ribosomal RNA
Source: RNAcentral